CUGUAUUUCCUUGACCCGUCCUCUUGUCCUCACAGGUGGUUGAAGGUGUUAAGUACUUCUUCACUGUGACUAUGGCGAGGACCCAGUGCCUGAAAGUGGAUGCAAAUGACAAGGAGAAUGGAUUGUGUGUCGUCCAUACAGACCCAGAUGAAGCUAAGCCUUACCAAUGCUCAUUCACGGUGUGGGUCAGACCCUGGACCUCGACCGGCAAAGAGUUUACGCAGACCUGCUAAGAAGAAAACCAACGCAGGAAAAUCAUUCAGUGCUCCCACAUUGUAGCACAAUCUCCUUCCAGAUUUCUAUUUCCUGUAGAUAAAGCACAAGACCUGUAUCACUUCAAAUGGCUUCUUAUCUUUGUAAACUGUUUACAACUCUAAACGUGAUAAUCUUUUAAAAGUCUGUUUCAGAUUUCACUUUUAGUGAAACAACUUUAUAAUGCAUUAUCAUCAAAACUACCUCAUGAAAUACACAAUGUUUAAAAAUUAAACACAUUUUAACAGCA
Non-coding RNA from Labrus bergylta (ballan wrasse), 502 nucleotides. The record is from RefSeq and is a predicted model, not a curated record. Lineage: Eukaryota; Metazoa; Chordata; Actinopteri; Labriformes; Labridae.